RNAcentral lists this ribosomal RNA (2902 nucleotides) under Escherichia coli. Its description in RNAcentral is "bacterial LSU rRNA". It matches the Rfam family "Bacterial large subunit ribosomal RNA". Lineage: Bacteria; Pseudomonadati; Pseudomonadota; Gammaproteobacteria; Enterobacterales; Enterobacteriaceae. The record is from RNAcentral.
UUAAGCGACUAAGCGUACACGGUGGAUGCCCUGGCAGUCAGAGGCGAUGAAGGACGUGCUAAUCUGCGAUAAGCGUCGGUAAGGUGAUAUGAACCGUUAUAACCGGCGAUUUCCGAAUGGGGAAACCCAGUGUGUUUCGACACACUAUCAUUAACUGAAUCCAUAGGUUAAUGAGGCGAACCGGGGGAACUGAAACAUCUAAGUACCCCGAGGAAAAGAAAUCAACCGAGAUUCCCCCAGUAGCGGCGAGCGAACGGGGAGGAGCCCAGAGUCUGAAUCAGUGUGUGUGUUAGUGGAAGCGUCUGGAAAGGCGCGCGAUACAGGGUGACAGCCCCGUACACAAAAAUGCACAUAUUGUGAGCUCGAUGAGUAGGGCGGGACACGUGGUAUCCUGUCUGAAUAUGGGGGGACCAUCCUCCAAGGCUAAAUACUCCUGACUGACCGAUAGUGAACCAGUACCGUGAGGGAAAGGCGAAAAGAACCCCGGCGAGGGGAGUGAAAAAGAACCUGAAACCGUGUACGUACAAGCAGUGGGAGCCUCUUUUAUGGGGUGACUGCGUACCUUUUGUAUAAUGGGUCAGCGACUUAUAUUCUGUAGCAAGGUUAACCGAAUAGGGGAGCCGAAGGGAAACCGAGUCUUAACUGGGCGUUAAGUUGCAGGGUAUAGACCCGAAACCCGGUGAUCUAGCCAUGGGCAGGUUGAAGGUUGGGUAACACUAACUGGAGGACCGAACCGACUAAUGUUGAAAAAUUAGCGGAUGACUUGUGGCUGGGGGUGAAAGGCCAAUCAAACCGGGAGAUAGCUGGUUCUCCCCGAAAGCUAUUUAGGUAGCGCCUCGUGAAUUCAUCUCCGGGGGUAGAGCACUGUUUCGGCAAGGGGGUCAUCCCGACUUACCAACCCGAUGCAAACUGCGAAUACCGGAGAAUGUUAUCACGGGAGACACACGGCGGGUGCUAACGUCCGUCGUGAAGAGGGAAACAACCCAGACCGCCAGCUAAGGUCCCAAAGUCAUGGUUAAGUGGGAAACGAUGUGGGAAGGCCCAGACAGCCAGGAUGUUGGCUUAGAAGCAGCCAUCAUUUAAAGAAAGCGUAAUAGCUCACUGGUCGAGUCGGCCUGCGCGGAAGAUGUAACGGGGCUAAACCAUGCACCGAAGCUGCGGCAGCGACGCUUAUGCGUUGUUGGGUAGGGGAGCGUUCUGUAAGCCUGUGAAGGUGUGCUGUGAGGCAUGCUGGAGGUAUCAGAAGUGCGAAUGCUGACAUAAGUAACGAUAAAGCGGGUGAAAAGCCCGCUCGCCGGAAGACCAAGGGUUCCUGUCCAACGUUAAUCGGGGCAGGGUGAGUCGACCCCUAAGGCGAGGCCGAAAGGCGUAGUCGAUGGGAAACAGGUUAAUAUUCCUGUACUUGGUGUUACUGCGAAGGGGGGACGGAGAAGGCUAUGUUGGCCGGGCGACGGUUGUCCCGGUUUAAGCGUGUAGGCUGGUUUUCCAGGCAAAUCCGGAAAAUCAAGGCUGAGGCGUGAUGACGAGGCACUACGGUGCUGAAGCAACAAAUGCCCUGCUUCCAGGAAAAGCCUCUAAGCAUCAGGUAACAUCAAAUCGUACCCCAAACCGACACAGGUGGUCAGGUAGAGAAUACCAAGGCGCUUGAGAGAACUCGGGUGAAGGAACUAGGCAAAAUGGUGCCGUAACUUCGGGAGAAGGCACGCUGAUAUGUAGGUGAAGUCCCUUGCGGAUGGAGCUGAAAUCAGUCGAAGAUACCAGCUGGCUGCAACUGUUUAUUAAAAACACAGCACUGUGCAAACACGAAAGUGGACGUAUACGGUGUGACGCCUGCCCGGUGCCGGAAGGUUAAUUGAUGGGGUCAGCGCAAGCGAAGCUCUUGAUCGAAGCCCCGGUAAACGGCGGCCGUAACUAUAACGGUCCUAAGGUAGCGAAAUUCCUUGUCGGGUAAGUUCCGACCUGCACGAAUGGCGUAAUGAUGGCCAGGCUGUCUCCACCCGAGACUCAGUGAAAUUGAACUCGCUGUGAAGAUGCAGUGUACCCGCGGCAAGACGGAAAGACCCCGUGAACCUUUACUAUAGCUUGACACUGAACAUUGAGCCUUGAUGUGUAGGAUAGGUGGGAGGCUUUGAAGUGUGGACGCCAGUCUGCAUGGAGCCGACCUUGAAAUACCACCCUUUAAUGUUUGAUGUUCUAACGUUGACCCGUAAUCCGGGUUGCGGACAGUGUCUGGUGGGUAGUUUGACUGGGGCGGUCUCCUCCUAAAGAGUAACGGAGGAGCACGAAGGUUGGCUAAUCCUGGUCGGACAUCAGGAGGUUAGUGCAAUGGCAUAAGCCAGCUUGACUGCGAGCGUGACGGCGCGAGCAGGUGCGAAAGCAGGUCAUAGUGAUCCGGUGGUUCUGAAUGGAAGGGCCAUCGCUCAACGGAUAAAAGGUACUCCGGGGAUAACAGGCUGAUACCGCCCAAGAGUUCAUAUCGACGGCGGUGUUUGGCACCUCGAUGUCGGCUCAUCACAUCCUGGGGCUGAAGUAGGUCCCAAGGGUAUGGCUGUUCGCCAUUUAAAGUGGUACGCGAGCUGGGUUUAGAACGUCGUGAGACAGUUCGGUCCCUAUCUGCCGUGGGCGCUGGAGAACUGAGGGGGGCUGCUCCUAGUACGAGAGGACCGGAGUGGACGCAUCACUGGUGUUCGGGUUGUCAUGCCAAUGGCACUGCCCGGUAGCUAAAUGCGGAAGAGAUAAGUGCUGAAAGCAUCUAAGCACGAAACUUGCCCCGAGAUGAGUUCUCCCUGACCCUUUAAGGGUCCUGAAGGAACGUUGAAGACGACGACGUUGAUAGGCCGGGUGUGUAAGCGCAGCGAUGCGUUGAGCUAACCGGUACUAAUGAACCGUGAGGCUUAACCUU